UCCACAACAUGCACGUCUCCUUCUCUAAAAAAACAUGCACGUCUCCUCCACCUUCGUUUCUAGGUGCUUCUCCUGUACGUCCUCCAUAGAUCGCUUAUGGUGUAGAUGUGCUAGAUCAAUCAAGUUAGACAAGCAUGCAGAGGAAAAGGAAGUUAAGAGCUACUGCUGCCGGCAUCAUGGCCAAGAAUCUCCGACGAAGUCUUCCCCAACACAACGAAGGCCAGCUGCUUCCACCAGCCGCAGAGUUUGCGUGGUGCCUGCCCGGCUGUACAUGUGUAAACCACGUAAGGAAAAUAGUCUCUCCUUAGCCCAGUGCCCAGCCGGAUCUACAAGUACAUCACGUAUGCAUGUCUAGGGAAUCAGGUUGUCAGCUAACACUGCCGCCGUCCAAGACGUUGUCUUGGUGUACUACGGACGUGGUGCCAGACAAAAGUUUUUCCCCAUAAAACUCCAUGGAACAAUUAUAGGCAAGCUAAAGAUUCACAACUCAUCGUCCUUUUAUUUCUUCAUGUUCAACACGAUAUGGAGCAAUUAGAUCAUCUGAAGAAUCCUCGAUCUAUUUAUUUUUCCAAUUCACUAGCAGGUUAGCAUCAUCAAUAUAUAGUCAAUUGUGCCUUGGACCAUGCCAAAAUAUAGUUUCGACGUUGCCCAGUUGUGGAUCGUUGAUCGCAACCAUGUACUCACAUCUGAUCGUAGGAGCACCGAGCAUCGUGUAACUGGACAUGGACCAGGCUCUAAUUCCCAG
This 745-nucleotide long non-coding RNA is filed under the name Hordeum vulgare. RNAcentral's name for it is "long non-coding RNA (HVUL_LNC012971)". The record is from RNAcentral. Lineage: Eukaryota; Viridiplantae; Streptophyta; Magnoliopsida; Poales; Poaceae.